CUCUAAAAAUGCUGCAACCAAACUAAUUAGACGUCGGCGAAUAACAACAAUGAUCGGUGGCUCGUGCUUGAAAACGCCCACGGAAACGAAACGUAUAAUCAAGUUCAAAUCGGAAUUGCCGCAAUACUGCAGACACUAUCAUUCACAGAUAGAAAGUGAUGAAGGAGGUGUACCAACCCUGUACAACUACGGAUCAAGAUAUUGUCGAAAAGAAAGAAUGUUCUCCGUUUCGAAAAAAGCUUCAGAAGUACAUACCAAUUCUUGAAUGGCUGCCAAAUUAUCAAUGGAAAGAUCAUUUUCAUGGAGAUGUCAUUGCCGGUCUGACUGUUGGAAUUAUGCAUGUUCCACAAGGAAUGGCGUAUGCUAGUUUAGCAGGAGUACCACCAGUUUAUGGAAUGUAUUCAUCGUUUUUUGCGAGCACAAUAUACAUGUUUUUUGGUACUGCACGACAUAUUUCAAUUGGCGUCUUCGCAGUAGCUUCAAUGAUGGUAGGAGCCGCAAGACUUCGACUGGCUCCAGAUAUUCCAAUUUCCAACUCAUCUGAUAUCAAUCCUUCUGUUUAUCCCCUUGGUGAAUACGUGGAUCCUCUUGUAUUUACAAGUGCUCUCACUCUUCUUGUCGGAGUUGUUCAAAUCAUAAUGGGUAUUCUUCGUCUCGGAUUCCUUACCACAUAUCUAUCUGAUUCAUUGGUAUCUGGUUUUACAACUGGUGCUGCUGUUCAUGUUUUCACUUCACAACUCAACAAAGUGUUCGGUAUCAAAUUGCCACGUCACGAGGGAAUUGGAAUGAUUGUUCGAAUGUAUAGAGAUAUGAUAAUGUCUCUAGGAUCAGUGAACUUUGUUGCACUUGGAAUUUCUAUUUUUGGAAUACUUUUUCUUGAUUUGGGUAGAACAUACAUUAAUCCUAUUGUGAAAAAAUUUUCACCAAUUCCACCUCCACUUGAACUUAUCUUGGUCAUUUUUGGAAUUGUGAUUUCAAUGAUUUUCAAUCUCGAUGCUGAAUAUCAUGUGAAGACAGUUUAUGAAAUUCCACGUGGAUUCCCAUUGCCAUCAAUUCCACGUCUCAAUUUCCUCCCUGCACUUCUUUCUGAUGCAAUUCCAAUUGCAGUUGUCUGCUACAUGUUCGUCAUGUCCAUGGGAAAAUUGUUCGCUAAAAAGCACAAAUACAAGACAGAUGCUACUCAGGAAUUGUAUGCAAUUGGUAUUGCAAGUGCACUAUCCUCAUUCUUCCCAGUAUACCCUGUUGGCGCCUCGUUGUCUAGAUCAUCGGUUUGUGAAAUGUCAGGUGCCAAUACACAACUCUACACAAUAUUUUCUUCCUUUUUACUUCUGACCGUUAUUCUUCUAUUGGGACCAUUCCUCGAGCCACUUCCAAUGUGCAUAUUGGCGUGUAUUGUCAUUGUUAGUUUGAAAAGUCUAUUCAUGCAAGUCAAGGAAUUACCAAGGCUCUACAGGAUAAGCAAAUACGAUUUUGCAAUCUGGCUAGUCGCAUGCCUUUCAACAAUAUUCACUGAUGUUACCACUGGUUUGGUAAUUUCUCUUGCCUUCUCUCUCUACACUCUCGUUCUCCGUCAACAAUGGCCAUCGUUCUCUACAGUUUUGCAUGACGAAACUCCACGCCAAAACGUCCCUGAAAAUGUCAAAAUUGUAAAAUUCGCCGGAUCUCUUCAUUUUGCAAAUGUGACAGCGUUCCAAGAUGAUAUGGGAGAAGCUAUCGGAAAACUUCCAGAAGAAGAUCCAUUAAUUGAUGAACGAACUAUUAUCCUUGAUGCUAGUUCAGUUGCAUUUAUAGAUAUAAUGGGAGUGGAUGCUUUGCGAGAUGUUUUCAAAGAUGCUUUGAAACUUGGUGUACACGUUUUUUAUUGCGGACUCCCAGAAGAUGUACUCUCUGUUCUAUCCAAUGAUGAGAACUUUCUUUCAGUUGUACCACCUUCUACAUUCUUUCCUUCAAUUGAUAGUUGCCUCAUCUCUUUUGUACAUCAGCAAAGUGUAUAA
Molecule: unclassified non-coding RNA, 1994 nt
Filed under: Caenorhabditis elegans
Lineage: Eukaryota; Metazoa; Nematoda; Chromadorea; Rhabditida; Rhabditidae
Description: Non-coding transcript of protein-coding gene sulp-8
Source: RNAcentral